UACGGAGGAUUCGAGCGUUAUCCGGAUUUAUUGGGUUUAAAGGGAGCGUAGGCGGGUUGUUAAGUCAGUUGUGAAAGUUUGCGGCUCAACCGCAAAAUUGCAGUUGAUACUGGCAUCCUUGAGUACAGUAGAGGUAGGCGGAAUUCGUGGUGUAGCGGUGAAAUGCUUAGAUAUCACGAAGAACUCCGAUUGCGAAGGCAGCCUGCUGGACUGUAACUGACGCUGAUGCUCGAAAGUGUGGGUAUCAAACAGG
RNAcentral lists this ribosomal RNA (253 nucleotides) under uncultured bacterium. Its description in RNAcentral is "partial 16S ribosomal RNA". It matches the Rfam family "Bacterial small subunit ribosomal RNA", at positions 524 to 776 of the family's 1533-position model. The record is from RNAcentral.